CCUACGGGUGGCAGCAGUGGGGGAUAUUGGACAAUGGGGGAAACCCUGAUCCAGCGAUGCCGCGUGAGGGAAGAAGGAUCUAUGGUUUGUAAACUUCUUUUAUAGGGGAAUAAAGGUAUCCACGUGUGGAUAUUUGCAUGUACCCUAUGAAUAAGCAUCGGCUAACUCCGUGCCAGCAGCCGCGGUAAUACGGAGGAUGCGAGCGUUAUCCGGAUUUAUUGGGUUUAAAGGGUGCGUAGGUUGUUUUUUAAGUCAGCGGUGAAAGUUUGUGGCUCAACCAUAAAAUUGCCGUUGAAACUGGAAGACUUGAGUGUGUUUGAGGUAGGCGGAAUGCGUGGUGUAGCGGUGAAAUGCAUAGAUAUCACGCAGAACUCCGAUUGCGAAGGCAGCUUACUAAGCCAUAACUGACACUGAAGCACGAAAGCGUGGGGAUCAAACAGGAUUAGAUACCCUUGUAGUC
Molecule: ribosomal RNA, 460 nt
Filed under: uncultured bacterium
Lineage: Bacteria
Description: partial 16S ribosomal RNA
Rfam family: Bacterial small subunit ribosomal RNA
Source: RNAcentral